RNAcentral lists this long non-coding RNA (335 nucleotides) under Macaca nemestrina (pig-tailed macaque). Its description in RNAcentral is "lncRNA (ENSMNEG00000045813.1)". The record is from RNAcentral. Lineage: Eukaryota; Metazoa; Chordata; Mammalia; Primates; Cercopithecidae.
UGCCCAGCGCAUUCAUAGAAAGUAGGAAAUUAUGCCCCAUUUCCCUAUGGGCAGACUUUCUAUAAACAUCAUUUGAGUUUCUAUAAAAAACAUUUAACAUUCUUUGGGCUGUUCUGGAUCACUUGCAUUUUUCUGUGUGUUUUAGAAUCAGUGGUCCAAGAACUGCUAAAAAUAAAAAAAAAUUAGAAUUUUAGUAGGGCUUGUAUUGAUUCUGAAGAUGUAUUUAGAAAGUAUAAGCAUCCUGGUUAAUAAUAGCUUUCUGAUCAAUGAAAAUCUAGUUUAUAUGGCAUAUUACACUAAUUCUUGUAUUCAUUUAUUUAGGAUUUCUUUAAUAA